Andrographis paniculata is the source of this 973-nucleotide long non-coding RNA. RefSeq lists it as uncharacterized. The record is from RefSeq and is a predicted model, not a curated record. NCBI's taxonomy places the organism in Eukaryota, Viridiplantae, Streptophyta, Magnoliopsida, Lamiales, Acanthaceae. The transcript is spliced from 3 exons.
UGAGGAUAUUAAAUCAGAAAUUCUUCAAAAAAUCAUAACUAGCUAUUUGGCUAUUUAAUCGACGAAUUUCUUUAGCUAAUAGCCUAUUCGUAGUCCUAGCAUUAUAUUUUGAGAAUUUCGUAUCGAUCCGAGCCGAAUUGAAAAUGGCAGUGUACUGCACCUGCCUGUUUAUUCAUAUCUUUAAGUAUUUUUAUUUAAUAAUUCGGGCGGUAUAAAUAUUAUGAGGUAUAAGAGUUUUAUAGCUAGAAUGUCGUAGUCUACUAAAUAUAAAAGUUUGAAACCCAACAAGCUAAUUAUAGAAAUUAGCUUUUAAAUAAGCAGGUAGCUCCUAUGAAUAAGCAUAUAGCUCAGCUGAUUUGAGUAAAUAAUGGGGCAGGUGUACGUUGGAAAAGAUCUGGGUGAAAUUGCGAAAGCUAAGGAGCGUCGAUAAGAGAUAAGCAGUAGGGAAGCAUGCAUGGCACAUCCGAGACAGGGGACGUCUCGGGAUAUAGAAAGACAGACUGACCGUAACACUAUAUUGUGGGGCCCGAAGUAGGAGGUGACGACCUCAUGAUGCAGUGUGGCGGUAGCAUUUCUAGUAUGAGCCAAUUGAGGAUAUUACAAGUGAGCCGAUUUGUGAGCAAUCUUGGAAACAACCUAACGCGGUGACCUUAGAUGAGCUGAGAUUGUGUUCAACCUGAUUUGGCCUCGAUGAGUGAAAAACGAGGCUUGACGCUGUCAUUGCGGAUGAAGUAAAAUGUUGAAGUGGAAGAUGCAAUCAGCCUUCAAGUGAGAGAUUGUUGGGAUAUGAAGCCUGAUUAUAUCCUAAAAUCUAGGAAUAUGAUUUGAAUAUGAUUUAGAUAUUACCCUAGAUCUAGAUAUAUGAUUUGUAUAUUAUUGGCAUAGGUUUAGUUAUAAAUAUUCAUAUAUUCUCACUUUAACAUUUGUGUUGUAUAUUAUAUUCUAUAGUAAAAUUCCUGAUUUGACAGCGCCU